GAUGAAGAACGUAGCGAAAUGCGAUAAGUAAUGUGAAUUGCAGAAUUCAGUGAAUCAUCGAAUCUUUGAACGCACAUUGCGCCCGUCAGUAUUCUGGCGGGCAUGCCUGUUCGAGCGUCAUUACGCCCCUCAAGUCCCCUGUGGACUUGGUGUUGGGGAUCGGCGAGGCUGGUUUUCCAGCACAGCCGUCCCUUAAAUUAAUUGGCGGUCUCGCCGUGGCCCUCCUCUGCGCAGUAGUAAAACACUCGCAACAGGAGCCCGGCGCGGUCCACUGCCGUAAAACCCCCCAACUUUUUAUAGUUGACCUCGAAUGAGGUAGGACUACCCGCUGAACUUAAGCAUAUCAAUAAGCGGAGGA
Molecule: unclassified non-coding RNA, 358 nt
Filed under: soil metagenome
Description: partial contains 5.8S ribosomal RNA, internal transcribed spacer 2, and large subunit ribosomal RNA
Rfam family: 5.8S ribosomal RNA (bases 1-120)
Source: RNAcentral